CUGCAUCCAACAUGGCUUCUCUCUUGGAUGGCUCUGCCCAUUGCUUCCUACAGCUUUCCUUGGCAGAUGUUCCAUGUUACUAGAAUCUCUUAAUUCCUGAGGUCUCCACUGCAGCUUUAGCUUCAUUCUCACAUUUUUAUGCAUUUCUGUCUCAGGGGCUACCUGAAGGGAUGCUGACCCUCCUGCACUUUGCCUGGCCUCCCAGGACUUCCUUUGAAACCUCAGUGGAGGCCUCCAUGAUCCCCAACUCCAGAAUCCUACAUUCUUGAACAACUGGCACCACAUGGAUGAUGCCAACUCCUGCUGCCAGCUCAAGGAAUAGCUGGGCUCCUUGACUAUGGUUGCAGGGGCCCUUGAAUCUAGACAACUGAACAUUAUUUAAGGACCCAUGAGGAAGGAACUUCAUAGGUCCCUCUUAUGGAGGCAGGGUGCUCCUAUGAUCUCUUUUCAAAUGAAUUUUUAUUUUACACCCUUAAGACUUCAAUGGGUGUAGUUUCCUAAGGUGCCCUUAAGGAAUCUUUUCUAUUAUCUCUGGAUAAAAUACUUAGCUUCUCUUUAGUGGUGGUAAUCUCUUCAGCAACCACAUCUACUUCUUUGGCCAAACUGAAAGCUUUUUCAAUCUUUCCUGGGUUUUUUGCUUCUGAUUAUCAUAGUAAACUUGGAUUAAUAACCACCAGCAAUACCCAUGCAACUUUCUGAAUUUGUGCUGCCUUGAACUUUACUCCCCCAGAUUAAUUAGUCCAUCAACUAUAGAUUGAGACUCAAAGUUUCAGGUCAUGGGCAAAUUGCAGAAAAGUUCUUUGCUGUCAUGUGACUGUAUCUAAUGUGACUUGUCUCUAAUCCAAUUCCUAAGAGUCCUCAUUACCAUCUGAAACCUCAUGAGCAUAGUCUUUUUACUGUUCAUAUUGUUAUCAACAUUCUGGUCUUCUCAGCUCCCAUCAGAAUUACCUAAAAAGCUUUGCUUUUAACAUUCUAAGUUUUCUCCAGCCUGCAUCUCCAAACAUGUCCAAACUCCUGCCACAAACCAGUUCAAAAGGCUUCUGAACCACAUGGUCAGGUUACUCACAGCAACAACCCUACUUUUCAGUAUCAAUUUAUCAGUCAGCUUUUCAUCGCUGUGACCAAAGUACCUGACAACAGUUACUUAGCAAAAAAAUAAUUUAUUCUCAGUUCAUAGUUUUAAGGAUUAAACCUCUGAGUUGGUGAGCCCAAAAUAAGAUUUUCUUCAUGAAUUCUCAGUUGACAUAUAAUUUUAAGCACCUAACUAAUUUUAGAAAUGAAAUUUUAAGCAUCUAAUUUUAGAAAUGUAAGACAACGAUUUCAUGCUUCAACAUUUACUAUUAUAGACUCAGUUGUUAUUUUGGUGUUAUCAAAAUAAAAUUUUUUUCUGUAUGUGUUUAAGGUUUUUUGCUUUUGUUUUUUUAUGUGUGUGUUUUAGCAGAGCCUAAAUAUAGGUUUCCUUUGUGUAUAUACUCUGGGGAGUUUGCCAAAAUUUACAUUUGUGUUUUGAUUUCUCUAAUAGAUUUUAGGUACCUUUCAGUAUUAAUUUUUCAGUUAUUACUUCUGUCAGUUUUCCCUCCUUUGAAACUCCAGUUAUUCAUAUGUUCUGUUACUUGACACUGUAUGACACAUUUUUUUACUCUGUUUGAUUUGUUCUUAUUUAUGCACUUUAGCCUUUCUGUAUUUCACUUGUGGCAUUUCUACAUUAGACUUUCUUCAAGUUUACUAUAUUUCCCUCUGUGUCCAUAUGACUCAUGAGACAUUAUUUCACAUAUUUAUUCUGUACUUUCAGAAUAACACAUGAUUUUUAGAGUCAUUUUGUUUGGGUAUCUUUUUAUUUUUACUCAUUUACAUCUUCUUUAUAUAGUUUCUUUAACAUACUUAAAAGAGUUAUUCUAAAGAUAUUGAUAGCAUUGUAGCUUCAGGAGCUAAGUGUCUGCUAUUUACUAACUUUAUUUUCUCUUCCUGGACAUACGUUUUCUCCUUUCAUGUGUGCUUUAAUUUUCAUUUGAGUCCAUACAUUUUGUAUGAGAUGGAAUGUUAUGACUUAAGUUUAUAUAAUUACUCCCACCAAUGAGAAUGUUUGCUUUCUUUUGAUCUAAUUAAACUCAUUUGGGCCUGGGUUACAUUUUAGUUUGUGUCAGUCCACUUCUGGUAUGAAAAGAUGCAAAGAGAGGACUGUGUGUGUGUGUGUGUGUUUUCAAUUGAGAACCUGGUUAGAAUCUUGUUCCUCUAUCCCAAAAGACUGAUAAAUUUACCUGCUUCUUUGAUGCUUUAACUCCUGUUUUAAAAUUUGAUCCUGAGUGAUUUUCAAAUAUAGCAAAUAUGUUCAAUAAAGAUACUAACUGUUUAUUUAAAGCAGGCCACUUUUCCUUUUGGGACAUUUUGUCUGAGAAUAUGGGAAAUUUCAGUCCAAAACCUCAGCAGUGCCUCGUGCAUGCUAGGUGAGCACUCUACCAAGUUUCAGAAAAUUUUAAGCUAAAUGUAAUCUCUCAAAGUUCAUCUGGUUCUUCCUUUCUUCAUUACCAUUCCUCUAUUUAUUCAAAUUCAUAUCAUCAAUCCAUAUCCAGAGCUGGCAGUCCUAACCAGGUAAGAAAUAGCCAAAGACCAUAUGUUUGCAUGAAAUAGAGCUUUCUCAUUUGGAUUUAAUUAAUUUAAUCCUCUCAAUCCCACAAUUUACUUUUAAACACACACACACUAUUUUACAUGCACACUGUUCUAGUCAGCUUUCCGUUGCUGUGAUUAAAAGAUCUGACCAGAACAAUUGCAGAGGAGGAAAAGUUUAUCUGAGGUCUCACCAUUUCAGAAGUCUCAGUUCAUAGAUAGGCAGCUCCAUUCCUCAGGGUUUGAGGUGAGGCACAACAUCAUCAGGGAAGAGUGUGGCAGAGGGAAGCUGCUCACAUGAUGAUCAGGAGGCAGAGAGACAGAGAGAGACUCCACUGGCCAGAUACAAAAUGACCAGAUACUCUAAUGACCCAUCUCUUCCAGCCACACCCUACUCACCUUUAUUUACCACUCUGUUAAUCCCCAUCCCCCCAUCAACAGAUGCAUUCACUGAUUGGGUUAAAGCUCUCAUAACCCAUUCAUUUUUCUUCUAAACCUUCUUGCAUUAUCUUAUAAGUGAGCUUUAGGGGACACAUCACAACCAACCCAUGACACACAUGCCCACAAGGGAUGGAUCAGUAACCACAUAGGUAUUUUUAAAAGCAAAGCUAACCCCAACAUACCAUAUGUUUGCUUUUAUUAUUUGCAGAUUGCCAAGGACCUCCUCCAAUAGGAGAUACAGAAAUUCUGUUAGGUUCCUGGCCUGACCAGCCUUAUACAGAGGGUACUCAGGCUACCUACAAAUGCCACCCUGGCUAAAGAACACUUGGUACCAUCAAAAGGCAUGCAGAAAUGGAGAAUGGGUGGCUCUUAAUCCAGGCAGGAUAUGUCAGAGUAAGUACUUCACUUUUUAAAACAAUACUUAUUCUUAAGUUUUAGGUGGACACAAUAUCUUUAUUUUACAUUUAUGUGGUGCUGAGGAUUGAACCCAGUGCCUCGUGCAUGCUAGGUGAGCACUCUACCACUGAGCCACAACCCCAGCCCUGAGUACUUCACUUUUUUUGUGAAAUUUAUGAAAUAUUUUAGUUGUGAAAAUGCUUAAUACUUGAUAUUGUAACAAUACUGGUUGAAUUAUAUCAUUCUUAUCAUUUUAAUACAAAACAAUACAUGAUUAUUUUAAAAAAGAGGACAGUAAUCCGACAAAAUUCAAAAAUACAUUCAAUUAUAAAAUAAUACCUUUGCUAUUUUCAAUUUUCCUUAUAUUCAAUGUUGUCCUCUAAUUAAAUGCCAAAUAUCUUUGUCCACAAACUCCUACAUAAAUGUGUUCCCUGUAAAACAUACUAAUACAUAUACAUAUAUAUUUUUAUUUUAGGGAAGCCCUGUGGACAUCCUGGGGAUACUCCAUUUGGUUCUUUUCAUCUUGAUGUAGGAAAUAAAUUUGAAUAUGGUGCAAAAGUUGUUUAUAAGUGUGAUGAGGUGUAUGUAGUCAAUAUUGAAAAGGUUUAUAACUCAAAUACUAAAGAGGAACUCUACUAAUUUAUAUACACAAAUAACUUGAAAAUUAAGGUACAAAUAUAAAGUAUUAUAUGUGUAUAUCAUACUGUUUUCUUAAUAUUAAGAAAUUCAAGCUGUAAUUACUCUAACAUAGUAUUAUUAUAAGUAUAUGGAAAAACAGUUCGCAUGUAAGUAAGUGUUCACCCAAGGCAUCUUUUCUACAUUGUACUAUUUGUAGGGUAUUUUGGGUUAUUUAUGUUGGGGAUAAUUGGACAUAUAAUGAAAUUAUAAAUUUAUAAAAAUUUAGGAAGAAGCAAUUCUUUGGUUGUAAGUUUUAUUUAUAAAUGCUAUUAUUUAAAUUUCCAUGUUAUACAAAUUCUUUUUCUCAUUCAUAUCAAAAAUGCUACUGUUUCAGAAUCAUUGAUUUUAUGCCUUCUGACCAGCCAGUCAGGUUUCCUGACUGAUCUCAUCAUGGUACCUCCUUACUAUUUGUUCUUCUCUAUUAUUCCUCUCUAGGUCAAAAACUUAUUUUGCAGAAAAUUUUGUACAUUAGGAAGCCAUGAUCAGAUCACUGUAAUUUUAUACUAAACAAGAAGAAUCAAGAGAUUAUAAAUAGAAUCAUUAUUCUCCCUUCAUACAUUUCUUGAUUUGGAGCAAGAAAAUGUAAUAGUUUAAAGGUCAGGCUUGACACUAAACCCACAUUCCAAACCUUCAACUCUCAGCACCUGUGUGUAUAAAUAGGUCUUCACUUGAAUUUUGCUUUCUUUUUAAAGUGAACACAUAUCAUGUGCAUCAUGGAAUUAGUGAGAGAAAGAAAUAAGAUCCAUACUUGAAGCCCUUAAAAGAGAUCCUGGAAUAUUGCUAAUGCCCAAUAAGUAUUAGUUCUUAAUAGUUUGGCCUCUUCGGAGGAAGUUUUUCAAACACAUUUCAGUCCAACUCUCAGUCAUUACUACUGUCGUCUUCAUAUGUAACCAAGUAGGUUAAGCCAAUCUGGGCCUGAAAUUUUCGAUUUGCUCUAUUUCUGAAAUCUCCCUUUAUUUCUAGAAAAGUCUUCCCUUUAGGUUCCAAUAAUGACUUGGAAAGGAAUCAAAAUCCAUAAAUUUCUUUUACUUGAUUUCCUCAAUUGUAACAAUUCAUAUUUAUAACUUGUUAAAGAAAUUAGCUACAACUAGGCUCCAGUUUCCUCGCCUUCUAGGAAAGAGAUUUCCCAAACUUGCCAACCAUCAGAAUCACCUGGGGAGCCUUAGGAAAAAAAAAUACAGAUUGCGAUUCAGUAGGUCUAGGGUAGUCUAGAAAUCUGUCGUUUUUUAAAAGCUCCUCACUAGCCAGGUGCCAUGGCGCACACCUGUAAUCCAAGCAACGUGGGAAAUUGAAACAGGAGGAUCCCAAGUUCAAAGCCAGCCUCAGCAACUUAGCAAGGCCCUCAGCAACUUAGUGAGACCCUGUUGCAAAAUAAAAGAAUGGCUUGGGAUGUGGCUCAGUGGUUAAGUACCCUCAGGUUCAAACCCUGGUACCAAAAACAAACAAACAAAACAUAAUAAUAGCUGUAGCUCAGUGGUAGAGCAUUUGCUUAGCACAUGUGAAGCACUGGGUUUGAUUUUCAGCACUGUAUAUAAAACAAAAAAUAAAUGUGUAUUGACAACUAAAAAAAUAUUUAAAAAUAAAAUAAAAGCUCCUCAUUGAAACAGUAAUACCAUAGCAUUGUGGGAAGGGGAGUUGAGAUAAAGAGGAGUGGCAUUGCUGUGUGUCCCUAGCAUUAAGCUAGUAUAACUCUGAAGCUGACUCUGAUGUGUUAAGAUGGAAUCGUACCCUUUAGAGCAACCGCUAAACCAAUAGCACAAAAAUAAUUUUUUAUUUCAUUAAGAAAUUAAAAUGAUACAUUAGACAGAUUCACUUAAUGCAAAAGAAAACAGAAAAGAAGGAACAGAAAGGACACAAGAUGUAGAAAACAAAAAGUAAAAUGGAAGAUGUAGAUCCAACUAUAUUAAGAAGACAUUAAAUGUGAAUAGAUUAAAUAAUCCAAUGAAGUACAGAGACUGUCCAACCGGAUGAGAACAAGAUCCAAAUAAACAUGCUGUCUAGAGGAGCCACAAUUUAUAUUUACAGGUACAAAAAGACUGAAAGUAGGAAUGUGGGGAAAGAUCCAUCAUGCAAACAGCAACCAGGAGAAAACUGGGGCUGGGGGUGGGGUGGAUGUAUACUGACUGAUAUCAGACAAAAUAAACAAAAAAUGUUACUAAAGACAAGAAGGGAAUCUUACACGAACUGCCCACUGACCUGCCUCCUGACCUGCCUCCAUUCCUCAUCCUGCCCUCUAAGCAGAAGCCCCAGCAACAGUCACCAGCCACACAUACAUCUCACCAGUAAUCUCUGCAUGUGCCCAGGCAGGCCAUGGCUAGGGAGGCCGAGAUCAGGGAUUUUGUUUUUGUGGUCACCAUUUCUCAAGGUGAAGUCUCCAGGAAGAUUCAGUGAUAUUUCCUCAGCUCUUGAAAAGAAAAACCAUCAUCUUUCUUUUAAGGCUGUUCCUGAAUCCAGAGGAGGCAGCAGGGGUGAUAGGUUUAUAUGAAGAUGGAAUUUUAUGCACAAGAACUAUGGUUAUUUUUAGAGCUAGGCUUGGUGUUGCAUGCCUGGAAUCCCAGCAGCUUGGGAGGCUGAGGCAGGAGUUCAAAGCCAGCCUCAGCAAUUUAGCAGGGCCUUAAGCAACUCAAUGAGACACCAUCUCUAAAUAAAAUAUAAGAAUGGGCUGGGGAUGUGUAGCUCCGUGGUUAAGGGCCCCUGAGUUCAAUCCCCGGUACCCCCUCCCCUCACAAAAAAAAGUAUGGAUAUUUUAAAUACAUAAUGUUAGAGGCAAAAGACAAAAAGGCCAAUCCAUCAGGAAGAUAUAACAAUUACAAACACAUAUGUAACUAAUAACAGAGCACAAAACACAAGAGGCAAAACCAGACAGACAUUAGACAACUGAACAAUAGUUAGAAACUUCAAUGCUCACUUUCAAAACAGAACAGUUAGAACAACAAGGAAAGAGAAAACUUUAACAACACUAACAAUCAAUUGGACUUAACAAUGCCUAAAUGCCUUCUAGGAAGAGAAUGUAUGGAUUUACAUUUCCAUCAAAACUGGUCCAAAAAAUAUUGUGUCAGGUUAUCCUUUAAAGACAAAAGUUCUUUAACCAUUAAAAGUUAAGUUCCAAAGAUCUUUGGUAAAAUACAGUCCUGCGAAAAUGGUCGCUGCUAUCCAUUCACCCACCAGAUAAUGGGAGUGGCCUGAGCCUACCACACCUGUUUUCCUGCUCUUUGCUGCCGCCUAGUGUUGUAAUAGGAGAAGUUCAUUGCAGGGGAGCCUGACUUCUGGGGCACCCAGCGGCUGUGCUCGGACCUGAUGGGCUGUCCUAAAUGGGCCCAGGCCACAGGAAGUGGCACUUCUGGGCUUUCUGUAAUGAGAACCUGGGGCACAUCCCAGAGGAAGCCUUGGAGGGACAGGAGAAGAGCUCAGGACUGGGCAUUUGAGACCUGGUUUUUGAAUCCUGUAUGGCUUUAUCCCUGAUUUGCAAUGAGGCAAGUUUGUUCUUUCUUUGCCCUCUGUUUCUUCUCAGUGAACUGAGGGGUUGGCCAAAAUUGGUAUUUUGCAAACUAUUGGUAGUGGCCUAUUAAUGAGCUGUUAACUCUCUAUUUAAAAUUGUAGAUGAUUUUUUUUUUAAAUGGGAAGUACAGAAUAAGAAAUAAUGGAAAUAUUCAGAUGCAUUAUACACAGUAAGGGUAAUUAUUGCUUCCAGAACCUUCUGUAUGCAGUAUACCCUGUGCUGUUUGGUCCGUGGUAAAAUAUAUUUCUUACCAAUGGUCUUGGUCAGUUCUGCUUGAAAGCCUUUGGCUCAGGGGAGCUCCAGGGUCCUCCUAGAUGGAGAGUUAAGCUCGAACUGAGCCUGGUCUGGGGAGAAGGUCCCACCUUGUGGAGGAAGAUCUGGUGCAGUGCUAACCGGAUCUUUUCCUUCUCCCUGUUCUAGGAUGAAUGGAAGCCUAGGCGCUAACGCAGAUGACUGCAGAGACUUUCCCACCGGGCCUCAAGCCAAAACAACACAAAAAACCACAGCUCCUGAGUCGGAGUUCCUCAGUGCAGCUCACUCUCAGGGGUGCCCAGAUGGGCCUGACAAGGUAGGUGCAGGUGCCAUUGAGGGGACACAGGCACUAGGUGGAGCCACAGUGUCAGGCAAAGAUCUGUUUUCCCUGUUUCAUCACCGCCCGGCGGGAACUGCGGAGGGCAGUAAGAACUCACGACUCGGGGAUGCAGAAGAAGCAGCGAUGCUUGAGGCCACAGGUGUCUGACCUGUCCCCUCUUGGAUUCCAAAAGGCUGGAGUGGAAGAGGGAGGCUCUUUUACCUGACCCAGGGGCUCUCAUUACCACCGCGGACUUGGUGGGUUCUGCGGUGGCCUAAAGCUCCCAGGCAGCUGCAGAGGACAGGAGCUGCCACGAGGGGACAGCAGAACACCGGCGUUGACAGAGUGAGUUCUGUCCGCCAUAGUAGGAAUGGGAGAGACGUCUCUGUGCAGGGAACAAGGAUGCUCCAAGAGAGGCCUGGCAAGUUCUCUCCCCGAAGGCUCCAGGAGGAGUACAGCGUCCAGAUUUCCAAUAGAGGUCACCAGGGCCAGCCGGAGCUGACUCAUACAGGCUCACAAGAGCAGAUGGUUGAAUUUUUUAAAAAAAUCUUCAAGCCCACUGGUAAAUAUAGCCUUUGUCAAAACUCACCUUAAAGGAAUUGUUUGAAAGCAAACAUACUCUAAAACUCAUCAUUUUCUAAUUAUUUUGCUACUAUGUUUUAUGUUCCUGAGGUUAUUUACAUUUAUUCUGGUGGAAAUGCCAUAACACUGUUUUACUGCCGGCAGCAACAGAACAUCUUUAGUCUGAAACUGAUCGUGGAAGGGGAAUUUACACACCGAGGAGUCAACCCAUGCUGCAGAUCAGGGCUACUGCUGUUGCUCCUCUUCCUCCCCUGCCUCCUCCUCCUUCUUGUAGUGGGACUUGAACCCAGGUGCACUUUGCCACUGAGCUAGACCCCAGGCACUUUUUUUUUUUUUUUGAGACAGGGUCUUGCUGAAUUUCUUAAGUCCUCAUUAAGUUGCUGAGGUUGACCUCCAAACUUAAAUCCACCUCAGCCUCCUGAGUGCUGGGGGUUAUAGGCGUGGCCGUCCCACCUGGGCUUACUGGGCUGCUUUUGGAGAGCCAGCACACCUCUGAGACCCACUCCCCUCCUAUACCCAGUUCUCCCAUCUCUUCUCUUAUCCAGCCAGCCACUCCUACCUCUUCAGAGAUGGGAAGAUAAAAGGCUUGGCUUUGACCUGUAGCUCUGAGAACACUUCAGGACUUUACCUGGAUAAGCAGACAUGGAGAGAGAACUUAGAAGAGCAUGUCAUUCAAAGGGAAAAUAUCAAGGCAGGGCAGCACGUUGCCCCUCAUCCUCCCCUGCUCCCCACUCCUCCCACAACUCGUGGCACCUACAGAGCAGGUGAAGGAAGAGAUGUUGAGCCUGAAGAAGAGGAGAUACCGCCAACUGUCUACCAAACAUUUGAAGGGCUGGGAUGUGAGUGAGAACUUCUCUAUCAGUAUCCAAGAUAAAAAAAACCAAGGCCAAGACAUACAGAUUCAACUUAAUAUGAAGAACCUCAACUGAGCCAUUCGAAGAUGGGAUGAAAUGGUUCAUGAGUGCUGCCUCCUCCUCCAGUACAUGGGAUGCAUAAAAGAGAAUUUAAGACUCAUACAAAAGCCAUGCUGUCCACAGUCCAACAUUAUAGUGUUAGCUGAGAACUAGUUAGAAAUGCAGGACCUCAGGCUCCACCCCAGGCCUGCUGAAUCAGAAUCUAAAUUUUAACAAGACCCCAAAGUGACCUAUAAGAAACAGCAGUUUCAGAAGCUUCAAACUGAAUCAGAUGAAUUUGAGGUGGAGAUAUACUAUAUUAUUUCGUAUAAUGUAGUGGAAACUAUAGCAAUUGUUUCUUUAUGGAAACAAUCUGUAUUUGGGAGCUGGUUAGUACAUUAUAGCAAUCAAUGUGAUGGGAUAACUGUUCAUAUGGUAACAUGAAGGAGAUGAUUUUCAUUAACUGGUAGAGAUGAAAUCCAGGCUACAUUGUGAAGUGAGGAAAACAAAGUCAUUUCUAAAAUCAAAAUUUGUUCUAAAUCACCAAUAGAAUAGCUAAAAAUAAAAUUGAACCUGUAUAAGAAUCAAAACAAAAUGUGUGAGUAAAUAUUUUAAAUAUUUUUAGCUGUAGAUGGGCGCAAUAUUUUAUUUAUUUACAUUUAUGUGGUGCUGAGGAUCGAACUUCAUGCCUCACACAUAUGAGGCAAGCGCUCUACCACUGAGCUACAUCCCCAGCCCUGUGAAUAUAUUUUUAUAAUCUUGAAAUGUGGACGAUCUAAGUAUGGCACAAACCCGAAAGUCAUAAAAGUAAAAACAAAUAAGCUCAGACCAUACAUAUAGAAACCAAACAUUUUUCUGGGUGCUGUGGUACAUACCUGUAAUCCCAGUGACUUGGGAGCCUGAGGUAGGAGGAUUGCAAGUUCAAGACCAGCUUCAGCAACUUAGUGAGGCCCUAAGCAAUUUAGCAAGACCCUGUCUCAAAAUAAAAAAUAAACAGGGCUAGGGAUGUGGCUCAGUGGUAAGCACCCCUGGAUUCAAUCCCAGUACAAAACAACAACAACAACAGAACACACACACAUUUUUACUUGGUGAAAAACUAUCACACACAUACACCAAAAAAAAAGCAAAAAUGACAGAUUGGUAAAGUAACUGUAACACUAUUAAAAAAGAGGUUAUUUUAAUAUAUAAAGAGCUCCUGCAACUCAAUAAGAAAAACACCAACAAUUUAAAAGAAAAAAAAUGGACAAAAGACAUAAGCAAUUCAUGGAAAAAGAAAUGAAAAUAAGUACCUUUAAACAUGUAAAAAGAAGCUCAACUUAAUCCAUGAAGAAUGUAGAUUAGCAUAAUGAGAUACCAUUAUCAUUUAAGUUGGCAAAGAUAAAUUCAGCACUAAUGAGAAGGAAUUACUCUCAAUUUCUGGUACUUCUGGGGAGGGCUGUGGGUAAUAUCUGUCAAAUUUAAAAUGUACAUAGCACUUGGCACAGUUGUUCUUUCUUUCUUUCCUUCUUGUUUUUUCUUGAGACAGGGUCUCACUAAGUUGCCCAGGCUGGCCUUGAACUUGCAAUCCUCCUGCUUCAGCCUCCUGAGUUGCUGGAAUUAUGGGUGUGCUCCAGUGCACUAGGUGACACAGCUAUUCUUAUAGAUUCACAUGUAUACAUUGAAGAUAUACAGGAAUAUUAUUUCAACAUGAAUUAUAAUAUCAAAAAGUUGGAAAUAACUAUCCAUCAAUAUAGACCUGAAGCAAUUAACUUGUCAUAUGCAUGCAAUGGAAAACUAUGAAAUCCUAAAAUAUAACAGGGCAACUCUAUAGGGACUGAAAUGGAAUGAUCACUAUAUGUUUUUAAUAAAAAUAAAGAUGUAUUACAUUAAUAUAUUGCAAAGGAAAAUAUAAUUUUCCUUUUUUUUUUCGGUACCAGGGAUUGAACCCAGAGGCGCAUAACCAUUGAGCCACAUCCCUAGCCCUUUUUGUAUUUUAUUUAGAGACAAGGUCUCUCUGAGUUGCUUAGCACCUUGCUAAUUUGCUGAGGCUGGCCUUGAAUUUGUAAUCCUCUUGCCUCAGCCUCCCAAGCCCCUGGGAUAACAGGUAUGUGCCAGCUAAACUUACAUUCUUCUCCUUCCUCCUCCUCCUCCUCCUCCUCCUCCUCCUCUUCUUUUAUAAUUUCUCAGUUGUAAAUGGACACAAUGUUUUUUUAUGUACUUAUCUUUAUGUGGUGCCAAGAAUCAAAACCAGUGCCUCUUAAGUGUGAGACAAGUGCUCUACCACUGAGCUACAGCCCCAGCCCUAAACUUACAUUCUUAAACAUCUCUGGAUAAUACAAGAGACAGCUACCAGUGGGACCUGAGAAAAGAAUCGUGGACCAAGCAUCAGGGUGAGAAGGAGCUCAGAUUUUCAGUCGAUAUCUUUCAAUACUGUCAAUUCUGUAGAGUGUGCACAAAUUACCUUUAAACAUUAAAAAAAAAAUUCAUUUGGAGAGAGAGAGAACUCUCUCAGGUAAAGACCAAGCAGCCCCAUCCCCAUCCUACCGUUGAAGGGACAGUGUCUUUGGGUUCACCCUAUUACUUCUGUUCUUGCCCUAAUAAUUAAAUGCUUUCUUUUCUUGAAGGCUCAUUCCAGCCUCUGAAUCCUUCCAUCAAGUUCACAGAGGUGACCGUCGGUCCCCUGCUUUCCACAGUAGCUUGCAGGAUCUGUAGCUCCCCGCACCCUGCACUUUGUAUCAGUUGCGUCUCUGCAUCUGCCAUUAAAAUUGCCUCGCGCUUCUUCAUAUCACCUCGAAUGCCAUGUGGCUUUGUCAUGAGUCACCCUCUCUCCUGAUCUCUGGGACACCCACAGCCACACUUCACCCUGCAGUUCAUAUCAGGACCUGACAGCAUUGCAGAGCAUCGGGACUCUCCUUCUCUGCUUGCCCCAGGAGCUCCUGGAAGGUGGCAGCCUGGGCUUCACUCAUCUCUGUGCCCUUGAAAGUGCUGAGAGCAGAGUGAGCGCCCCAGAGAGCCGUCUCCAGUUCUCGGGUGAUGGAUGGCCAUUCAACAUAGCACAGUGUCAUGCGGUCUUUACUAGUCACCCUAGUACUUGCCUUGGCACUGAGAGCCGGUGUGACUGGAGGUGUGGUGCUUUCUAUGCUGCAAGGGCUGUGGUCCCCUCACACAGCAGCAGGGCGGGCGUCCAGCACCUGGCCACAUGCCCAGGGCUCAGAACCCUGCACCUUUCUCCAUCCU
Molecule: long non-coding RNA, 12880 nt
Filed under: Marmota monax (woodchuck)
Lineage: Eukaryota; Metazoa; Chordata; Mammalia; Rodentia; Sciuridae
Source: RNAcentral